RNAcentral lists this ribosomal RNA (527 nucleotides) under uncultured bacterium. RNAcentral describes it as "bacterial SSU rRNA". It matches the Rfam family "Bacterial small subunit ribosomal RNA", at positions 981 to 1509 of the family's 1533-position model. The record is from RNAcentral.
UUGACAUCCAGAGAAUUUAGCAGAGAUGCUUUAGUGCCUUCGGGAACUCUGAGACAGGUGCUGCAUGGCUGUCGUCAGCUCGUGUUGUGAAAUGUUGGUUAAGUCCGCAACGAGCGCAACCCUUAUCCUUUGUUGCCAGCACGUAAUGGUGGGAACUCAAAGGAGACUGCCGGUGAUAAACCGGAGGAAGGUGGGGAUGACGUCAAGUCAUCAUGGCCCUUACGAGUAGGGCUACACACGUGCUACAAUGGCGCAUACAAAGAGAAGCGACCUCGCGAGAGCAAGCGGACCUCAUAAAGUGCGUCGUAGUCCGGAUUGGAGUCUGCAACUCGACUCCAUGAAGUCGGAAUCGCUAGUAAUCGUAAAUCAGAAUGUUACGGUGAAUACGUUCCCGGGCCUUGUACACACCGCCCGUCACACCAUGGGAGUGGGUUGCAAAAGAAGUAGAUAGCUUAACCUUCGGGGGGGCGUUUACCACUUUGUGAUUCAUGACUGGGGUGAAGUCGUAACAAGGUAAGCGUAGUGCU